This 951-nucleotide ribosomal RNA is filed under the name Phocoenobacter atlanticus subsp. atlanticus. RNAcentral describes it as "partial 23S ribosomal RNA". It matches the Rfam family "Bacterial large subunit ribosomal RNA", at positions 1224 to 2157 of the family's 2925-position model. Lineage: Bacteria; Pseudomonadati; Pseudomonadota; Gammaproteobacteria; Pasteurellales; Pasteurellaceae. The record is from RNAcentral.
UUGGGUAGGGGAGCGUUCUGUAAGCGGAUGAAGGUGAAUCGAGAGGUUUGCUGGACGUAUCAGAAGUGCGAAUGCUGACAUAAGUAACGAUAAAACGAGUGAAAAACUCGUUCGCCGGAAGAUCAAGGUUUCCUGUCCAACGUUAAUCGGGGCAGGGUGAGUCGACCCCUAAGGCAAGGCUGAAAAGCGUAGUCGAUGGGAAACGGGUUAAUAUUCCCGUACUUGUAAUAACUGCGAUGUGGGGACGGAGAAGGUUAGGUUAUCAGGGUAUUGGAUAUCCCUGUUUAAGCCGGUAGGUGGGAAUUCUAGGCAAAUCCGGAAUUCUGUAUAACACCGAGAAGUGAUGACGAGGCUCUAAGGAGCUGAAGUAACUGAUACCACGCUUCCAGGAAAAGCCACUAAGCAUAGGUUAUUAUAAAUCGUACUGUAAACCGACACAGGUGAUCAGGUAGAGAAUACUCAGGCGCUUGAGAGAACUCGGGUGAAGGAACUAGGCAAAAUAGCACCGUAACUUCGGGAGAAGGUGCGCCGGCGUAGAUUGUAGCCCUUUACGGGUGAAGGUUGAACCGGUCGAAGAUACCAGCUGGCUGCAACUGUUUAUUAAAAACACAGCACUCUGCAAACACGAAAGUGGACGUAUAGGGUGUGAUGCCUGCCCGGUGCUGGAAGGUUAAUUGAUGAUGUAAUCGAAAGAGAAGCUUCUGAUAGAAGCCCCAGUAAACGGCGGCCGUAACUAUAACGGUCCUAAGGUAGCGAAAUUCCUUGUCGGGUAAGUUCCGACCUGCACGAAUGGCAUAAUGAUGGCCAGGCUGUCUCCACCCGAGACUCAGUGAAAUUGAAAUCGCCGUGAAGAUGCGGUGUACCCGCGGCUAGACGGAAAGACCCCGUGAACCUUUACUAUAGCUUGACACUGAACCUUGAAUUUUAAUGUGUAGGAUAGGUGGGAGACUU